RNAcentral lists this ribosomal RNA (427 nucleotides) under uncultured bacterium. RNAcentral describes it as "bacterial SSU rRNA". It matches the Rfam family "Bacterial small subunit ribosomal RNA", at positions 355 to 774 of the family's 1533-position model. The record is from RNAcentral.
UGGGGAAUUUUGGACAAUGGGGGCAACCCUGAUCCAGCCAUCCCGCGUGUGCGAUGAAGGCCUUCGGGUUGUAAAGCACUUUUGGCAGGGAAGAAACAGCCUGGGCUAAUAUCCCGGGCGACUGACGGUACCUGCAGAAUAAGCACCGGCUAACUACGUGCCAGCAGCCGCGGUAAUACGUAGGGUGCAAGCGUUAAUCGGAAUUACUGGGCGUAAAGCGUGCGCAGGCGGUUCGGAAAGAAAGGUGUGAAAUCCCAGGGCUUAACCUUGGAACUGCACUUUUAACUACCGGGCUAGAGUACGUCAGAGGGGGGUAGAAUUCCACGUGUAGCAGUGAAAUGCGUAGAGAUGUGGAGGAAUACCGAUGGCGAAGGCAUCCCCCUGGGAUGAUACUGACGCUCAUGCACGAAAGCGUGGGGAGCAAACA